GAUGAAGAACGUAGCGAAAUGCGAUAAGUAGUGUGAAUUGCAGAAUUCAGUGAAUCAUCGAAUCUUUGAACGCACAUUGCGCCCCUUGGUAUUCCAUGGGGCAUGCCUGUUCGAGCGUCAUUUGUACUCUCAAGCUCUGCUUGGUGUUGGGUGUUUGUCCCGCGUUGCGUGUGGACUCGCCUUAAAGCAAUUGGCAGCCGGCAUAUUGGCCUUGGAACGCAGCACAUUUUGCGAUCCUAGUCAUACUUGUUGGCAUCCAUCAAGCCUAUACAUUAACGCUUGACCUCGGAUCAGGUAGGGAUACCCGCUGAACUUAAGCAUAUCAAUAAGCGAAGGA
RNAcentral lists this unclassified non-coding RNA (337 nucleotides) under soil metagenome. RNAcentral's name for it is "partial contains 5.8S ribosomal RNA, internal transcribed spacer 2, and large subunit ribosomal RNA". The stretch from base 1 to 120 matches the Rfam family "5.8S ribosomal RNA", at positions 35 to 154 of the family's 154-position model. The record is from RNAcentral.